RNAcentral lists this ribosomal RNA (157 nucleotides) under uncultured Glomus. RNAcentral describes it as "5.8S ribosomal RNA". It matches the Rfam family "5.8S ribosomal RNA". From Rfam's summary of the family: 5.8S ribosomal RNA (5.8S rRNA) is a component of the large subunit of the eukaryotic ribosome. It is transcribed by RNA polymerase I as part of the 45S precursor that also contains 18S and 28S rRNA. Lineage: Eukaryota; Fungi; Glomeromycota; Glomeromycetes; Glomerales; Glomeraceae. The record is from RNAcentral.
UCACUUUCAACAACGGAUCUCUUGGCUCUCGCAUCGAUGAAGAACGUAGCGAAGUGCGAUAAGUAAUGUGAAUUGCAGAAUUCCGUGAGUCAUCGAAUCUUUGAACGCAAAUUGCACUUCCUGGCAUUCCGGGAAGUAUGCCUGUUUGAGGGUCAGU